Molecule: ribosomal RNA, 3732 nt
Filed under: Triticum aestivum (bread wheat)
Lineage: Eukaryota; Viridiplantae; Streptophyta; Magnoliopsida; Poales; Poaceae
Description: partial small subunit ribosomal RNA
Source: RNAcentral
AUGUCGACCUCCGCCUCCACUUCCUCUACACUUGGGGCCUCCACCACAUCGACGCUCGCGACACAGACCGCCGGGGCCAUGAUCCCGUCCAUCGCGUCGCCGGCGUCCCAAGCCGUCCAUGUCGCCAGCGUCAAGACGCAUGUUCCCAUCGUCCUCGACCUCCAGAAGUCCAACUACGCCAAGUGGCGUAUGCUCAUCAACGUCCUCCUCGGCAAGUACGACCUCACCGACCACAUCUCCGACCUCACGCCGCCGGAUGCCCGCUCAGUGGACUGGCAGCCUCUCGCUCGGAUCAACGCAAAUGGCGACGGCGGUCCACCAGCUCUCCUUCUCCGCGCCGAGCGCGUGCGGCAGACGCGGGCGUCCGCGUCCGCGACGGACCGGCACGAGGUGCUGUCGCCGAAGCGUCGACUGCCGCUGCGGAAGGUGCCGGGCGAGCACGGCCCGCCGUUGCUGGGCGCGCUCAAGGACCGGCUCGAGUACUUACACGGGCCAGCGUCCGCGCGCACUGCUCCACGGUGGGGAACAAGCGUCGAUCCCAGUACGGUGGAUGUGUAUCAAGCUGGAUAUCAGUCCUAUGAGCUCCAUUCAGAUUAUCUUCUCUUUUGUGCUAUCGAGUUGUUUGGGUCUCACUGGAGCAUCUUCCAGCUGUUAACACCUUGGGACCCUGGAGGGAUUGCAUUGUGGCUGUUAUUGAAAUGGACUCGACAAACGGUUUUUCAAGGCGGGCGGGGUGUCAUUGCUAUCAUUGUCAGCUUUCCGCCAGGCUCCGACUUCGGCAACUACAACGACGCCGCCACCUUCGGCUUCCUUUGCCGCGACCCCGUCGACUCGCCGCUCCGCGACGAAGGGCCCAACUCCCAAGCUGAUCGCCAAGUGGGUUCUGUUCCAGCAGCCCGCCUGCUCGGCCUCGGCCUGCCCAACUACGGCCGCCUCGCCGACUUCUUCCGCGACGCCGGCAAGGCGGUGAUCGACGAGGGCGAGCGGCUGGGCAUCGCGCGGGAGGAGGCGGUGCACAACAUCCUCUUCGCCAUGUGCUUCAACUCCUUCGGCAGCAUGAGGGUCCUGUUCCCGUCGCUGGUGAAGUGGCCGGGCCGCGCGCACCCGGCCGCCUCGCGAUGGAGAGCUAUUCUCCGCCGAAAUUUUUCUUCCUUGCUUGUUUGGGAGUCGGUAACAUCCACCGCGCCGGUGUGGGUUGCUCCGGUGAGCCGCACGAAAUCCGUCGCGGGGUUCGACGCCCUUCCGAGCAGGACAACGGCUCCUUCCAAGGCCUCGGCGGCGACGCGGCAAGUUCUCGCCACCAUGGACGAGGGGAACACCAACAUCACCAAGAUGCUGGAGACUCUGCUCGCCAGAAUCGACGACCAGAAGAUGGCGCAAGAGAAACAGAUCGAGCUCCAGGCCGCCUUCAACGUGCAGACCUCGCAGGAGAUGCGCGGCCUCUCGCGGCAGCUUGAUCUGACCCAGGCGGACCUCGACCUCACGCGCAAGACAGUGGAAGGAUCUGCCUCUACGUCAGGCUCGGUCACCACGCAUCUUCACCAGCCCGCGCAACAGCAGCAGCAACCUCCACCGCCCCCUCCUCCUCCCCCGUCGCCGCGCCCCGUACCAGAUCCGGCACGUCCGUCGUCUUCGCACGCGCGUCUGGGCGACCACCGCCCACCUUUCCUUCCCGUGCCACCACAGGGCGGAUUUCUCGCCGCGCCGACUGCGUCUCCGACGGGCCACAACACCAAUGAGUACCACAAGCCCCCGAAGCACGAUUUUCCCAAGUUCGACGGCAUGGCGCCAUAUUUGUGGCUGGACCGUUGCCUCGCCUACUUCGAACUCUACAAGGUGGCUGCCCACCAGUGGGUCGCCACCGCGGCGCUCUACAUCGACGGCCAGGCCGCGCACUGGCUUCAAGCGUUCCGCCAGACGCAUCGCAACAUCACAUGGGACGUCUUCAUGUUGGCGGUCCUGGAGGAGUUUGGCGCCGACGAAUUUGAGGUGGUGAUGCACAAGCUGCUCCAGCUCCGCCAAACAGGCACCGUCGCCGAGUACCGCGCCGCGUUCGACGAGCAGAUGUACCACUUGCUCGCGCUCGAUCCAUCGAUCAACACCAAGUUCUUCGUGACGCAGUUCCUCCUUGGCCUCAAGGACGAGCUGCGUGCCCCGGUGCGUCUUCAGGCACCCUCAAGCAUCACGUGCGCCUCGGUGCUCGCGCGCAUCCAAGAGGAAGAGUUGGGCACGACCCGCGCGCGACCCCGCAUCACACCUGCGGGCCGACCACCACCAACGACAGCCGCCGCGGCACUGCCACAGCGCGCCGUGGCCGCGCCGGUUCGCGCCCAAGGAGACGAGUACGCGCAGGAGCGGCAACUACACGAUUUCCAUCGCGCGAACAAUCUCUGUUUCAAGUGCGGCGAUCGCUACUCCAGGGAGCAUCGCUGCGCUCAACCCGCGCAACUGCUCACAAUCAACGUGGGAGACCAUGGGAAGGUGCUCUCGGACGACACCAUCCAUGCCCUGCAGCUGCUCGACGACCCGGGCCCGGUGGCGCAACCCCCUGCCUUGGCCGCGAACGCACCAGAGUGUUGCCUUCUCUCGUCGCAGGCGCUCGACGGCACGGACUCGGCGAUGACGAUCAGGUUGCGCGCCUUGGUGGGAAACCAAGUCAUGCUCCUGCUGCUCGACUCGGGCAGCACCCACAGUUUCGUCAACAAGGCGUUCGUCGAUCGCCUCGGCCUCACCACGGAGGAAAUGCCGUCGACCGAGGUGCGAGUGGCCAACGGCGACAAACUCACCUGCAACCGCAUCACGCCCAUACGUGAGCUGGAGAUUGGCGCGUACGACGGCAUUUUGGGCAUGGACUGGCUCGCCCAGCACAGCCCCAUGACAUGCCACUGGCAAGACAAGCGGGUGAAAUUUCUGUACGACGGCGAAAAGGUCACGCUCCACGGUGUUCCAACCAAACCAGCCACCACGCUCAAGGCGGUCAGUCCCGAGGAGCUGCGCAGGAUGAUCGCCGGCAACGAUGUCUGGGCCAUGGCCAUGGUGGACACCUGCGGCCCUCCAGCGCGCCAGGGUACGCCCUUCAAGGCCCUCUACGGCAAGGAAGCAAAUCUGGGCGCAAUGGCGUCCUGGGAGGCAUCGACAGCCGCCGGCGAGGAGAUGGACUGGCCGGCGCACAACGCGCACAUACACGCCCAGUUGGAGCGCGCGCAGCGCCGAUUCAAGAAGAACGCGGAUCGCAACCGCACCGAGCGCCACUUCCAGGCAGCGUAUCAAGUGCUGCUCAAGCUCCAGCCUUACGCGCAGCGCUCGGUGGUCAAUCGCCCGUGCGCCAAGCUGGCGUUCAAGUUCUUCGGGCCCUACAAGAUCGUCGAGAAGAUCGGCUCGCUCGCGUACAAGCUCGACCUGCCACCAGAGAGCCAGAUCCACCCCGUCUUCCACGUCUCACAAUUGAAGCCCUUCACACCUGACUUCACGCCGGUGUACAGCGAAGUGCCCAAGGUGUCCGACCUCUCCACCACCGGCCUCUCUCCCACUCGCAUCCUGGACCGGCGCAUGAUGAAGCUGGGGAACGCGCCGGUGGUACAGAUCAAGGUUCAAUGGGGAGCGGGGGACUCUGCACCAACGACGUGGGAGAAUUACGACGUUCUUCGUCAGCGCUUUCCAUCUGCGGAGCUCUGGGAGGAAGAAGACGCGGGCGACGACGUUGAAGACGAAGAUGACGACGCCCAGUCUUAA